UACGUAGGAGACGAGCGUUGUCCGGAGUUACUGGGCGUAAAGGGUGCGCAGGUGGCGGCGCGCGUGGGGGGUGAAAUCGCCCGGCUUAACUGGGCGGGGGCCUUCCAGACGGCGUGGCUUGAGCAGCGGAGGGGGACGUGGAAUUCCGGGUGGAGCGGUGAAAUGCGUAGAGAUCCGGAGGAACACCGACCGGCGGCAGGCAGC
This 204-nucleotide ribosomal RNA is filed under the name uncultured bacterium. RNAcentral describes it as "partial 16S ribosomal RNA". It matches the Rfam family "Bacterial small subunit ribosomal RNA", at positions 524 to 725 of the family's 1533-position model. The record is from RNAcentral.